RNAcentral lists this ribosomal RNA (252 nucleotides) under uncultured bacterium. RNAcentral describes it as "partial 16S ribosomal RNA". It matches the Rfam family "Bacterial small subunit ribosomal RNA", at positions 524 to 776 of the family's 1533-position model. The record is from RNAcentral.
UACGUAGGUCCCGAGCGUUGUCCGGAUUUAUUGGGCGUAAAGCGAGCGCAGGUGGUUUAUUAAGUCAGUGGUCAAAUUGAGGGGCUCAACCCCUUCCCGCCAUUGAAACUGGCGAUCUUGAGUGGAAGAGAAGUAUGCGGAAUGCGUGGUGUAGCGGUGAAAUGCAUAGAUAUCACGCAGAACCCCGAUUGCGAAGGCAGCAUGCCGGCUUCCGACUGACGCUGAAGCACGAAAGCGUGGGGAUCGAACAGG